AUAGGUAUGUGCGGGAGCUACUGUUAGUAGCUGAGAGGCCGGGUAAACCCGGCGACCGUCUGAACCUGAUCUGGGCAAUUCCAGCGAAGGGAACGUGUUAGGUUUAAAG
Molecule: non-coding RNA, 109 nt
Filed under: Actinomycetota bacterium
Lineage: Bacteria; Bacillati; Actinomycetota
Description: Actinobacteria bacterium TPP sequence
Rfam family: TPP riboswitch aptamer (THI element)
About the family: Vitamin B(1) in its active form thiamin pyrophosphate (TPP) is an essential coenzyme that is synthesised by coupling of pyrimidine and thiazole moieties in bacteria. The previously detected thiamin-regulatory element, thi box was extended, resulting in a new, highly conserved RNA secondary structure, the THI element, which is widely distributed in eubacteria and also occurs in some archaea.
Source: RNAcentral